This 325-nucleotide unclassified non-coding RNA is filed under the name soil metagenome. Its description in RNAcentral is "partial contains 5.8S ribosomal RNA, internal transcribed spacer 2, and large subunit ribosomal RNA". The stretch from base 1 to 119 matches the Rfam family "5.8S ribosomal RNA", at positions 35 to 154 of the family's 154-position model. The record is from RNAcentral.
GAUGAAGAACGUAGCGAAAUGCGAUACGUAAUGUGAAUUGCAAAUUCAGUGAAUCAUCGAGUCUUUGAACGCACAUUGCGCCCCUUGGUAUUCCGAGGGGCAUGCCUGUUCGAGCGUCAUAUUAACCACUCCCGCUUGCGGGGUCUUGGGCUUCGCCUCCGGGCGGGCCUUAAAAUCAGUGGCGGUGCCGUCGGGCUCUACGCGUAGUAAAUUUUCUCGCGAUAGGGUCCCGGUGGAUGCUUGCCAACAACCCCCAACUUCUUAAGGUUGACCUCGGAUCAGGUAGGGAUACCCGCUGAACUUAAGCAUAUCAAUAAGCGGAGGA